Molecule: long non-coding RNA, 635 nt
Organism: Oryza sativa Japonica Group (Japanese rice)
Lineage: Eukaryota; Viridiplantae; Streptophyta; Magnoliopsida; Poales; Poaceae
Source: RefSeq, a predicted model, not a curated record
UGCAGCGGAGCAAUGAGAGGGGGCGCUGCGGCAGGGACAGCUGCACGGCGCGGCGCGGCGCGGCUCCGACGCGACAGCGACGGCGACGGCACGCUCUCUUCUCCGGCAGUUGUCUCCUCCGGUGGCCACCUUCUCCCCGGCUUUGGGAGGAAGGAAGUCUGAGAGGAUGGUGGUUCAUAUACUGAGUGGAUGAGCAGACAUGUACACGAUGUUGGCUUUUUGCAGGAGCAACAAAUGUUGAUCUUUGAAUCAUUGUAUAUUGCUGAUGUAACCAUUUGGCCUGGGAGUCCUGGUGUGGCAGCUCACAUUUAUUUUUAUAGCUUGACAAUUAUCUCCUAGCUAAUUAUCUCAAGUGAAUCAUGACAUAGUUUUAUCUUUUUUCUUUUUUAUUGUCAAAUUUCACUACUAAGACUGUAUUUAGUUGUCUCCGUAUUGUCAAGUGGCCUCAAGCUUUGUUGGGUGAUGCCUCCUUGCCUUAAACCGAAUACAGGUCUUGAUGAUACUGCAAUAUUUUUGUUUUAAUGAUUAAUCAAUGUUGUUUUCGUGUAAUUGAUGAGGUUACUGCAAUAUUUUUUACUGAAGUGUAAUUUCAUUCAUGUUGCACUUUUCACUUAUACAAAAAUAUCGGUUUGCAA